This is a non-coding RNA of Myotis brandtii (Brandt's bat), 75 nucleotides long. The record is from Rfam. NCBI's taxonomy places the organism in Eukaryota, Metazoa, Chordata, Mammalia, Chiroptera, Vespertilionidae.
GGCGGUUCUCAGGUGAUGGACCCCGGAAUCAGGCUCCCUCCUCUCUGGUUCUGGGUGCAUCACCCGAGAACCGCA